CCAAUAGCGUAUAUUAAAGUUGUUGCAGUUAAAAAGCUCGUAGUUGAAUUUCGGGAUCAAUUUAUUGGUCGUGCUAUUGUACGUACUGGUAUUAUUGAUUCCUACCUUCUGACGAACCACGAUGUCAUUAAUUUGGUGUCAUGGGGAAUCAGGACUGUUACUUUGAAAAAAUUAGAGUGUUUAAAGCAGGCUCACGCUUG
RNAcentral lists this ribosomal RNA (200 nucleotides) under uncultured Glomus. RNAcentral describes it as "partial small subunit ribosomal RNA". It matches the Rfam family "Eukaryotic small subunit ribosomal RNA", at positions 591 to 797 of the family's 1831-position model. The record is from RNAcentral. Lineage: Eukaryota; Fungi; Glomeromycota; Glomeromycetes; Glomerales; Glomeraceae.